AACGAACGCUGGCGGCAUGCCUAACACAUGCAAGUCGAACGAUACCUUCGGGUCUAGUGGCGCACGGGUGCGUAACGCGUGGGAACCUGCCCUUAGGUGCGGAAUAACUCCCCGGAAGGGGUGCUAAUACCGGAUAAUUUCUUCGGACCAAAGAUUUAUCGCCUUUGGAUGGGCCCGCGUUGGAUUAGCUAGUUGGUAGGGUAAAAGCCUACCAAGGCGACGAUUCAUAGCUGGUCUGAGAGGAUGAGCAGCCACACUGGGACUGAGACACGGCCCAGACUCCUACGGGAGGCAGCAGUGGGGAAUAUUGGACAAUGGGCGAAAGCAUGAUCCAGCAAUGCCGGGUGAGUGAUGAAGGCCUUAGGGUUGUAAAGCUCUUUUACCCGGGAUGAUAAUGACAGUACCGGGAGAAUAAGCGCCGGCUAACUCCGUG
This 433-nucleotide ribosomal RNA is filed under the name uncultured bacterium. RNAcentral describes it as "partial 16S ribosomal RNA". It matches the Rfam family "Bacterial small subunit ribosomal RNA", at positions 29 to 507 of the family's 1533-position model. The record is from RNAcentral.